Molecule: ribosomal RNA, 253 nt
Filed under: uncultured bacterium
Lineage: Bacteria
Description: partial 16S ribosomal RNA
Rfam family: Bacterial small subunit ribosomal RNA
Source: RNAcentral
UACGUAGGGGGCUAGCGUUGUCCGGAAUCAUUGGGCGUAAAGAGCGUGUAGGCGGUCCGGUAAGUCCGCUGUGAAAGUCGGGGGCUCAACCCUCGAAUGCCGGUGGAUACUGUCGGGCUAGAGUGCGGAAGAGGCGAGUGGAAUUCCUGGUGUAGCGGUGAAAUGCGCAGAUAUCAGGAGGAACACCGGUGGCGAAGGCGGGUCUCUGGGCCGAUAUUGACGCUGAGGAGCGAAAGCGUGGGGAGCGAACAGG